AUUUUCCCCCAUAAUUGUUAAUUGUUUCCACAGUAGAUUAAAACUAUUGUAAACAUUAUAAAACUCCAUCAAUCAACCUAUUUCCCCACCCUUUUUUCUCCCUCUCUCUCUAAAAUCCUACCCUCCAUGGACCCACCACCUCCACCCACCACUCCACCACCACCCACCACCACCACGACCGCACCACCACCACCCACAACGUACCCCGACUCCCUGGAUUCAUCCCCUCGUUCACGCGCCACUGACUUCGACGAUCCUUUCCCACCCACCACAUCGAAACUCCGCCUGAUGUGCAGUUACGGUGGCCACAUAGUCCCCCGUCCUCACGACAAGUCCCUCUGCUACGUCGGCGGUGACACUCGCAUGGUCGUCGUGGAGCGUACGUCCACUCUUUCCGACCUCCACUCUCGCCUGUCCAAGACCGUCCUCAACGGCCGCGCUUUCACCUUGAAGUAUCAGCUCCCCAACGAAGAUCUCGACUCACUUAUUACUGUUUCUACUGAGGAAGAUCUUGAUAAUAUGAUUGAUGAGUAUGAUCGCUUGGUCGCUAACUCUAGCGUCGGGAAAUCAUCGCGGAUUCGGUUGUUUCUGUUUCCGUCUAAACCUGAGGGUGCGGCUUCGAUCGGGUCUAUUUUGGAUGGGUCCAAUAGGUCCGAAGAUUGGUUUUUGAAUGCUUUGAAUGGAGCUGCUGCGCUUCAGAGAGGCUUUUCGGAUCCUAGUGGGGUUAAUUGUUUGUUGGGUUUGGAGGAGAAUGGGAAUUUGGGGAAUAGUUUUGCGAAUUCGGAGUCCAAUCAUAAUAAUAAUAACAAUAAUAAUAGUAAUAAUAGUAAUAGUUGUAAUUCUAAGGAGAUUGAGAGUAAUAAGAUGGGGAAAUUGGGGGUCCAGAGUCAAAGUAAUCCGGAUAUCCAUUCGGUGCCGGAUUCGCCGAUUAUUGAGACUACCUCGUCGUUUGGUUCGACGUCGUCGUCGCCUUCUUUAGCGAAUUUGCCACCGAUUAGGGUUCAUGUGGAGGAAGGGGGUAGGGUUUUGGAGCAGAGGAUGAUGGGUGGGAUUGAGGAGCAGUUUGCUCAGAUGGGUGUUAGUGUUCAGAAACAAGGAGUGGACGAUCAGGGUUUUGUAGUACCUGCUGGUUUGGUGUCUGGAGUUUCUGCAGCGGGAGGAACGAUAGUGGGCGGUGGUGGUGGUGGUGGUGGAGACUUUGCAAAUCGAGUAUUUUCGGAUGAUGAGAGAUCAGACCAUGGGGGUAGAAAGCAGCAGCAGCAGCAAAUGGGACAUCCUAUGAUGAUGACUUCACAAGCCUCCCAGAAGCAUUUAAGUGGUGCUGAAUUGCUUUCUCCUGAUUCUGUUUCUAGUGAUAAUAGUUUCUCGAAUGUAAUGUCUCGCCAAAAGCCACUCAUGUAUCAAGAUUUAAGUGGUCAAUUAUCGUCUGGAAGCAAUAGACUUCAAACAAACAUGGCUGAUUCAAACACCCGCAUUCAGAUGCAACAAGUUUCAGAAACUGGGUAUGUACUGCCUCCUCAAUAUGAACAACAGCAACAGCAAAUGCUCCAGCAGCAACAGUCACAGCAUCAACAACAGUUGUUCCAGCAGCAGCAGCAGCAGCAGCACCAGCAACAGCAGCAACACCAACAACAGCAGCAGCAGCAGCAUCAGCAGCAUCAACAGCAGCAGCAGCACCAGCAGCACCAGCAGCACCAACAACAGCAGCAGCACCAGCAGCACCAACAGCAGCAGCAACACCAACAGCAGCACCAACAGCAGCAGCAACACCAACAGCAGCACCAGCAGCAGCAGCAAGCACAAACACAGCCACAGUCCCAGCAAUAUAUUCCUGCUGGUGCACAUUUCAUGCAUCAUCCAUCUGCUGGUGCAAUGCCUAUGCAAGCAUACUAUUCUGUAUAUCCUUCUCAGCAGUCACACCAUCACCCUCAUCAAUACCCUGUGUAUUAUGUGUCAGCUGGGCAAGCUCAAGGUUACAGCUUACCUGUCCAGCAGCAGCCGCCACCAAAUCUGGGUGAUGCCCCAACUCCCAAUCCUUCUACUCGUCCCCAAACCCCCCCAAACCCUACCAUAAUCACCGCACCUCCAGCCUACAACCCACCUAGAAAUGUCCCCCCUCCAAAGCCUGAAAUGGCUCCAAGUGUCUACAGAACAGCAACUGCAGCAGGUCCACAGCUUGUUCAAGUUCCUCCAAGUCAGCAACAACCCCCUCACUCACAACCGCAGUCCCAGGCACAGCCUCAGCCUCAGCCUCACCAGCAACAACAAUUCAUGGGUUACUCCCAGAUUCAUCACCCAUCACAAUCGAUUGCUCCAAGUUCAGCUAGUGGUGCUGGUGGUUAUGCAUAUGAGUUUACUGAUCCUGCUCAUGCUCAAAUAUAUUAUACUCAACCCCUGCCACCUGCUCUUGCUGCUCAAUAUCAAGGAGUGACGUCAGGUCCUGCCAUGGUGUUGCCGGAUGGAUCUUCUCAGCUUCAAAAUGAAAAUGUCAAACAACAAAUCCGGAGCUCUCAGCCUCUGUAGUUUCUUAUCAUAUGAAAUUUGGUCACAUCUACCACCAUUUGCUUGAUCCAACAACAUACCUUCGAAGACGUCGAUUAAAUUUUACGAUCGUGCUCAGCCAAGGAGCUUCUCAUGUGCCCAGGACAUCUUGAUGGAUACUCCCUCGAUUUCCAAGGAUCUUCGUAAUUUAUGUUUUGAGUGUAUUCCAUAAGAUGUUUGUGGCCUAUUUUCAAUUCAUUAUUUAGUAGUGUUUUUCUCUUUCUACACUAUUUUAGCCUAUUUAUUGGACUCUAAUAAUUUUACGCUAUCCAAAAAUUACAUUUCCCUUCCUAUUUAAAUUAAUAAAAUUGACCCAUUUGCACAUUA
This is an RNA transcript of Beta vulgaris subsp. vulgaris (sugar beet), 2868 nucleotides long. RefSeq lists it as uncharacterized. The record is from RefSeq and is a predicted model, not a curated record. The transcript has 4 exons. Lineage: Eukaryota; Viridiplantae; Streptophyta; Magnoliopsida; Caryophyllales; Amaranthaceae.